CCUGGCUCAGAUUGAACGCUGGCGGCAGGCUUAACACAUGCAAGUCGAGCGGAGAGCGAUGAUAGCUUGCUAUCAGGCGUCGAGCGGCGGACGGGUGAGUAAUACUUAGGAAUCUACCUAGUAGUGGGGGAUAGCUCGGGGAAACUCGAAUUAAUACCGCAUACGACCUACGGGAGAAAGGGGGCAACUUGUUGCUCUCGCUAUUAGAUGAGCCUAAGUCGGAUUAGCUAGAUGGUGGGGUAAAGGCCUACCAUGGCGACGAUCUGUAGCUGGUCUGAGAGGAUGAUCAGCCACACCGGGACUGAGACACGGCCCGGACUCCUACGGGAGGCAGCAGUGGGGAAUAUUGGACAAUGGGGGCAACCCUGAUCCAGCCAUGCCGCGUGUGUGAAGAAGGCCUUUUGGUUGUAAAGCACUUUAAGCAGUGAAGAAGACUCCGUGGUUAAUACCCACGGACGAUGACAUUAGCUGCAGAAUAAGCACCGGCUAACUCUGUGCCAGCAGCCGCGGUAAUACAGAGGGUGCAAGCGUUAAUCGGAAUUACUGGGCGUAAAGCGAGCGUAGUGGCUUGAUAAGUCAGAUGUGAAAUCCCCGGGCUUUAACCUGGGAACUGGAUCUGAUACUGUUAGGCUAGAGUAGUGAAGAGGAAGGUCGAAUUCCGGUGUAGCGGUGAAUGCGGUAAGAUCU
Molecule: ribosomal RNA, 687 nt
Filed under: uncultured bacterium
Lineage: Bacteria
Description: bacterial SSU rRNA
Rfam family: Bacterial small subunit ribosomal RNA
Source: RNAcentral